Molecule: ribosomal RNA, 301 nt
Filed under: uncultured bacterium
Lineage: Bacteria
Description: partial 16S ribosomal RNA
Rfam family: Bacterial small subunit ribosomal RNA
Source: RNAcentral
CAGUCGCCGCGGUAAUACGUAGGGUGCAAGCGUUAAUCGGAAUUACUGGGCGUAAAGCGUGCGUAGGCGGCUUCUUAAGUCGGAUGUGAAAUCCCUGAGCUUAACUUAGGAAUUGCAUUCGAUACUGGGAAGCUAGAGUAUGGGAGAGGAUGGUAGAAUUCCAGGUGUAGCGGUGAAAUGCGUAGAGAUCUGGAGGAAUACCGAUGGCGAAGGCAGCCAUCUGGCCUAAUACUGACGCUGAGGUACGAAAGCAUGGGGAGCAAACAGGAUUAGAUACCCCCGUAGUCCCUGUAUCUUAUAA